This 373-nucleotide ribosomal RNA is filed under the name uncultured organism. RNAcentral's name for it is "partial 16S ribosomal RNA". It matches the Rfam family "Bacterial small subunit ribosomal RNA", at positions 527 to 896 of the family's 1533-position model. The record is from RNAcentral.
GUAGGUGGCAAGCGUUGUCCGGAAUUAUUGGGCGUAAAGCGCGCGCAGGCGGUUCUUUAAGUCUGAUGUGAAAGCCCACGGGCUCAACCGUGGAGGGUCAUUGGAAACUGGAGAACUUGAGUAAAGAAGAGGAAAGCGGAAUUCCACGUGUAGCGGUGAAAUGCGUAGAGAUGUGGAGGAACACCAGUGGCGAAGGCGGCUUUCUGGUCUGUAACUGACGCUGAGGCGCGAAAGCGUGGGGAGCAAACAGGAUUAGAUACCCUGGUAGUCCACGCCGUAAACGAUGAGUGCUAAGUGUUAGGGGGUUUCCGCCCCUUAGUGCUGCAGCUAACGCAUUAAGCACUCCGCCUGGGGAGUACGGCCGCAAAGGCUG